Molecule: long non-coding RNA, 939 nt
Filed under: Homo sapiens (human)
Lineage: Eukaryota; Metazoa; Chordata; Mammalia; Primates; Hominidae
Description: HSALNT0236635
Source: RNAcentral
UGCUCAUCGGGGCUGGACUCCUUGGUUCCUGGGGACGAAGACAAACCCUAUAAGUGUCAGCUGUGCCGGUCUUCGUUCCGCUACAAGGGCAACCUUGCCAGUCAUCGUACAGUGCACACAGGGGAAAAGCCUUACCACUGCUCAAUCUGCGGAGCCCGUUUUAACCGGCCAGCAAACCUGAAAACGCACAGCCGCAUCCAUUCGGGAGAGAAGCCGUAUAAGUGUGAGACGUGCGGCUCGCGCUUUGUACAGGUGGCACAUCUGCGGGCGCACGUGCUGAUCCACACCGGGGAGAAGCCCUACCCUUGCCCUACCUGCGGAACCCGCUUCCGCCACCUGCAGACCCUCAAGAGCCACGUUCGCAUCCACACCGGAGAGAAGCCUUACCACAAUUAAAGAAGGAAGAAGGGAAGGCGGAGGAGUCUAUAAGAAGGAAUCAUGAUUUCUAUUUAGCAGAUUGGAUGGGCAGGUGGAGAAUGCCUGGGGGUAGAAAUGUUAGAUCUUGCAACAUCAGAUCCUUGGAAUAAAGAAGCCUCUCUGUGCUGCCUGCUGUGUCCUGGGUUCUUGCCUUGGGGGACUCGGGGAGCGAGGAAGAGAGCUCUUCCUCCUGGAUAACAUCUUGGAUUCUGUACCAUUCCACUGUCCCUUCCCACCAGACAUUUUAAAUGGUCCUCGUUGUCCCCUUCCCUGCCCUUGCCUUCCUGCUCAUUGUGUAGGAACCAGUGACUUCAUGAAGUUUCUCCGGAGCCACCUGCAUCCUGCUGCUCUGAAGUCACUUCCUGCCUGAGGUGUGGAGGCUGCAGGGAGAAACCAGGAAGCCACUAAUAAUAUCAAGAGGCCGGGGCGUGCAUCUGUGCUGGAGAUCUUAAUGCUGGCGACAUGCCUCCAUCACCAAGGAAGAUGGAUAAGAGUUGGGUCCCGUAAAGACCACAGGGGCUG